ACUCAAAGGAAUAGACGGGGGCCCGCACAAGCGGUGGAACAUGUGGUUCAAUUCGACGCAACGCGAAGAACCUUACCUGGGCUUGAACCGCUGGUGACCAACGGUGGAAACAUCGUCUUCCCGCAAGGGACACCAGUAGAGGUGCUGCAUGGCUGUCGUCAGCUCGUGCCGUGAGGUGUUGGGUUAAGUCCCGCAACGAGCGCAACCCUUACUCUUAGUUGCCACCCGCAAGGGGGAACUCUAAGAGGACUGCUCCGGAUAACGGAGAGGAAGGUGGGGAUGACGUCAAGUCAGCACGGCCUUUAUGUCCAGGGCUACACACGUGUUACAAUGCACGGUACAGAUCGUCGCGAACUCGCAAGGGGGAGCUAAUCGACAAAACCGUGCUCAGUUCGGAUUGCAGUCUGCAACUCGACUGCAUGAAGCCGGAAUCGCUAGUAAUGGCGUAUCAGAACGACGCCGUGAAUACGUUCCCGGGCCUUGUACACACCGCCCGU
Molecule: ribosomal RNA, 497 nt
Filed under: uncultured bacterium
Lineage: Bacteria
Description: partial 16S ribosomal RNA
Rfam family: Bacterial small subunit ribosomal RNA
Source: RNAcentral